Molecule: ribosomal RNA, 194 nt
Filed under: uncultured bacterium
Lineage: Bacteria
Description: partial 16S ribosomal RNA
Rfam family: Bacterial small subunit ribosomal RNA
Source: RNAcentral
GAAAUUCGCCUGUAUGAAGCCGGAAUUGCUAGUAAUGGCAGGUCAGCAUACUGCCGUGAAUACGUUCCCGGGCCUUGUACACACCGCCCGUCACACCAUGAGAGUUGGGGAUACCCAAAGCCCGUGAGCCAACUAUAAAGAGGCAGCGGUCUAAGGUAGAAUCAAUGAUUGGGGUGAAGUCGUAACAAGGUAUC